GACAGCAGCCGCCGCGGGAACACGGAGGGCGCGAGCGUUACCCGGAUUUACUGGGCGUAAAGGGCGUGUAGGCGGCCUGGGGCGUCCCAUGUGAAAGGCCACGGCUCAACCGUGGAGGAGCGUGGGAUACGCUCAGGCUAGAGGGUGGGAGAGGGUGGUGGAAUCCCCGGAGUAGCGGUGAAAUGCGCAGAUACCGGGAGGAACGCCGAUGGCGAAGGCAGCCACCUGGUCCACUUCUGACGCUGAGGCGCGAAAGCGUGGGGAGCAAACCGGAUUAGAGACCCGUGUAGUCCCUGUCUCUUAUAA
RNAcentral lists this ribosomal RNA (306 nucleotides) under uncultured bacterium. RNAcentral describes it as "partial 16S ribosomal RNA". It matches the Rfam family "Bacterial small subunit ribosomal RNA", at positions 507 to 809 of the family's 1533-position model. The record is from RNAcentral.